Molecule: ribosomal RNA, 92 nt
Filed under: Crocodylus porosus (Australian saltwater crocodile)
Lineage: Eukaryota; Metazoa; Chordata; Crocodylia; Crocodylidae
Source: RNAcentral
UACAGCCAUGCUGGACUGAAUAUACCAGAUUUCCUCUGAUCUUGGAAGCUAAACAGUUGGAAGCUUGGAAUCCUGGCUAGUAUUGGCUGGAA